AGAUUGAACGCUGGCGGCAGGCCUAACACAUGCAAGUCGAGCGGUAGAGAGGUGCUUGCACCUCUUGAGAGCGGCGGACGGGUGAGUAAUGCCUAGGAAUCUGCCUAGUGGUGGGGGAUAACGGUUCGGAAACGGACGCUAAUACCGCAUACGUCCUACGGGAGAAGCGGGGGACCUUCGGGCCUCGCGCCAUUAGAUGAGCCUAGGUCGGAUUAGCUAGUUGGUGAGGUAAUCGGCUCACCGAAGGCGACGACUCCGUAACUGGUCUGAGAGGAUGAUCAGUCACACUGGAACUGAGACGACGGUCCAGACCGUCCGUAACGGGA
RNAcentral lists this ribosomal RNA (326 nucleotides) under uncultured soil bacterium. RNAcentral's name for it is "bacterial SSU rRNA". It matches the Rfam family "Bacterial small subunit ribosomal RNA", at positions 26 to 349 of the family's 1533-position model. The record is from RNAcentral.